UACGGAGGGGGCUAGCGUUGUUCGGAAUUACUGGGCGUAAAGCGCACGUAGGCGGACCAGAAAGUUGGGGGUGAAAUCCCGGGGCUCAACCCCGGAACUGCCUUCAAAACUCCUGGUCUUGAGGUCGAGAGAGGUGAGUGGAAUUCCGAGUGUAGAGGUGAAAUUCGUAGAUAUUCGGAGGAACACCAGUGGCGAAGGCGGCUCACUGGCUCGAUACUGACGCUGAGGUGCGAAAGCGUGGGAGCAAACAGG
This 252-nucleotide ribosomal RNA is filed under the name uncultured bacterium. RNAcentral's name for it is "partial 16S ribosomal RNA". It matches the Rfam family "Bacterial small subunit ribosomal RNA", at positions 524 to 776 of the family's 1533-position model. The record is from RNAcentral.